This 69-nucleotide transfer RNA is filed under the name Marmota monax (woodchuck). RNAcentral describes it as "tRNA.Ala". Lineage: Eukaryota; Metazoa; Chordata; Mammalia; Rodentia; Sciuridae. The record is from RNAcentral.
GGGCUGGGGCUCAGCGGUAGAGCGGUCGCCUAGCACGUGAGAGUACUUGGUUCAAGCCCCAACACCACA